UACGUAGGGUGCAAGCGUUGUUCGGAAUUACUGGGCGUAAAGCGCACGUAGGCGGACUGUUAAGUCGGGGGUGAAAUCCUGGGGCUCAACCUCAGAAUUGCCUCCGAUACUGGCAGUCUCGAGUGCGGGAGAGGUGAGUGGAAUUCCCAGUGUAGAGGUGAAAUUCGUAGAUAUUCGCAAGAACACCAGUGGCGAAGGCGGCUCACUGGCCCGAUACUGACGCUGAGGUGCGAAAGCGUGGGGAGCAAACAGG
RNAcentral lists this ribosomal RNA (253 nucleotides) under uncultured bacterium. RNAcentral describes it as "partial 16S ribosomal RNA". It matches the Rfam family "Bacterial small subunit ribosomal RNA", at positions 524 to 776 of the family's 1533-position model. The record is from RNAcentral.